GAAAAGAGUAGGUGGGGUUUUUUUGACUGGGGGGUCCCUGCCUCAUGGUAGGGGUUAUAGUCAGAGUCUGAGAUAUCGCUAGCAAUCUUCGCUGAGCGGAGACUGCUAGCAAACAGGAGGUCCGAGGCCGCUUCCAGGUGAGCUGUGGAGUAGUAGCGAUGAAAGCUGAAGUCACCCCGGCUGGGUAGAGCCCCCAGAGCAGCCCUGACCUUCCAGCGUCUUUGGACUCCACCAACCCAAGAGUACAAACUGUGCAGUCCAGUGAAUCUCCUGCCCCUGUGCUUGUUAUCAGAACCGCAGGAAAUCCCUUGGUCUUCAUGGCCCUGCCACUGUCCAGCUUGAAAAUUUCCUGUUGCUGCUAUCUCAGCUUUCCCAGUGAGGCUGGUACGGAGGUAAGGCUGAGGAGAAAUAAGACUCGGUACUUAAGCAUGGGCCUAACUUUACGCACAUAACUAGUUCCCUUGAAGUCACUGAUGAUACUCCCCUGAAGACGUGACCCAAUAAGUGAUGUUUUGGUUCAGUGGCCAAACCAAAAAUUCUGAAAAAAAUAAAAUAAACUUGAGCCAAUCGGAAAUGGAAAUGUCUUGUUUUGAUUUUUUUCUCAUCAAAAUGAAAAACCAAAGAAUAUCAUUUGACCCAGAAAGAAUUUUUGGAGGGCUUUUUUCAUUGUUUUAUAUCCAUUUUUGUUUUGUUUUUUAAAUGAAGUCAAAACUCAGUCUUUCAUUUUGAAAACGCUUUAACUUAAAAAAAUCAUUUUUGGGGCUACAACUACUUGCAGAAUUUGGCCCAAAUUCACAAAUUGCUGCAGUCGACCCCAAAUUGCAUUUUUUUUUUUUUUUUUUGGUGAACGAACUAUUUUUGGUGGAAAACGUUGCCGUGUUACUCGUGUGUUUUACAAUUAGGCACGUGCUUAAGCACCUUGCUGAAUUGGGGCCCAAAGGUGAGCGCAGGUUCCAAAUGGAAAUUGCUCUUAGAUGGUGAGGUUAAAAAGUGAGGAAUUAUUUCUUUGCCUGCGUGGGAAAUGGAGGGACGUGACAGGAUCCCAACAGUGAGGGAAUGAGAAAUAGGCCGUUCUCUGGGAGGUGAUGUCCCUGGGUUGCUAACACCGGCUCCGCAUGCUGAGCCAAUAGAAAGCCUCCCAAUGACGCCAGUAAUAAUGGUGUAAUUUUGUAAAUCUUUGCGGUUUGCGAUGAUGGCGAGACUAACCCAGAGGAGGACGGAGAGAGGCAUUCCUCGUGCCACAGCACACCGGCGCGCCUGUUUGUUGUCCCAGUUCCUGCACUGUAUUAAUUGCACCUUGCUAGGAAUCCAGGCCAGGAGGUGGUCAAAACCCAGGUGAGCUUCCAAGUGUCUGGCUGUGUUUCUGCGAGUGCUAGUCAUGAAACUGAUUUAAUCUAGAAGAGUCUCCACGGCCACUGCACUGGGUGGAAUGUAAGAGGCUUGGGGAAGUAAAAAUUCCUUCCAUCAGCGGCGAAACUGUUUUGAGUGACUGGCAGGCAUGAUGGUGGAGGCAGGGAAAAGCCUGC
This is a long non-coding RNA of Chelonia mydas (Green sea turtle), 1526 nucleotides long. RefSeq lists it as uncharacterized. The transcript has 3 exons. The record is from RefSeq and is a predicted model, not a curated record. Lineage: Eukaryota; Metazoa; Chordata; Testudines; Cheloniidae.